This 33-nucleotide small RNA is filed under the name Bombyx mori (domestic silkworm). RNAcentral's name for it is "ovarian small RNA-11154". The record is from RNAcentral. Lineage: Eukaryota; Metazoa; Arthropoda; Insecta; Lepidoptera; Bombycidae.
ACAUCCAGGUCCACUCCUGUCUGAGGGCCGGCU